UACAAAAGUACCAUCAAAAACCAAUGUUAUUGUUAGUUUGUUUAAGUAACCAUUUUGUACAUGCUAAGUAAUUAUUUUGUGUCACUUGUAAUUUACUUUCUAUAAUAAACAUAUUUGUAUCUUAUUGAUGUACUCUGCCAGCAUUAGUGGAUUAAAUAAAUAUUCAGAUGACAGAGGAAUAUUGCCUACGCCCUGUCUGAUAUAUUUAUCGCCAAGAAGUUUCAAAAGUGCCCCCCUAUGUGCUGCAAUACAUUUGUUCCGUAUUUUCGCUUUCUGCAAAUAAUCUGUAAUAUAUCCUGAGACUAGUUCAUGCUUAGAAUCCUUAUCAAAAAUUUCUUUUAUUUUCGAAUACAAGGUAGUAGCUGUUAUCGGUUCAUUGACCUUUGACCCCCAGUCAAUAACAUUUUGCAGUGAAGAAUUAACUAUUUUAUUUUGAGUUAAAAAUGCAUUAGAUAAUUCUGCAACACUACGCUGCAUACGAGGCCAGUUAAUAAAGGAAUUCGACUCGUUGGCCAACUCUUCGUUAACUUUAAAGUCUACGAACGCGGGACAUGUCACAUGCUAAGUAUUUCUUAUGGGUGUCCGCAUAUCCCUAAGACUUCCAGACACUUUUGUUAAAGUGUUGGUGUUCCUCAAUUUUAGCCACUCUAAAAGAUGGUGCCGCCGGAACUAACGGUUCUUUUAUGGAAAUUGAUAAAUUACACACCUCGUCAAUUGAUUGUGGUGUAAGUAAAAAGUCUUGUGGCCUUAGUUGGUUUUCCUUAUUAGCACUCACUAAGUCAGAUAGGUAAUUGACUUACUGGCUGCUGCGACAGAACUUCAAACCUUGUAUCGAGCCCAGA
This is a non-coding RNA of Plutella xylostella (diamondback moth), 842 nucleotides long. Lineage: Eukaryota; Metazoa; Arthropoda; Insecta; Lepidoptera; Plutellidae. The record is from RefSeq and is a predicted model, not a curated record.